AUGGAUAGUGGGGACGAGUAUUUUUUCCACGACUUCAUUUCUUCAUCGGAUGAUUCGUCCUCGGAUGACGAAGAGCUUGCGGUGGUUGCAUUGGUUGUCAAUGACCACAUUGCUAGGCAGCGACCUCGGUUCAAGGGAUCAAUUCAGGGUCAUGCUCCGGCCUUGAACCGCAAUAGGGAGAGCGGCCCCACCCUGCUCUAUGCCGAUUACUUUGAGAAUACCGCGCUCUUCAAACCACAUCAAUUCCGUUGCCGCUUCUGUAUGGCGAGACAUGCGUUCAGUUGUAUUCGGGAGGAAGUGGCGGCAUAUGACUUUGAGUACAAAGAGGAUGCCCUUGGCAAGUUUGGCUUCUCCUCUUAG
Molecule: ribosomal RNA, 360 nt
Filed under: Triticum aestivum (bread wheat)
Lineage: Eukaryota; Viridiplantae; Streptophyta; Magnoliopsida; Poales; Poaceae
Description: partial small subunit ribosomal RNA
Source: RNAcentral